This 239-nucleotide long non-coding RNA is filed under the name Salvia miltiorrhiza (redroot sage). Its description in RNAcentral is "long non-coding RNA (SMIL_LNC002999)". Lineage: Eukaryota; Viridiplantae; Streptophyta; Magnoliopsida; Lamiales; Lamiaceae. The record is from RNAcentral.
ACGGAUUCACUACGGAUUAUUAAAAAAAUGAAAUAUAAUAUCUUUAUGGCUACGGCUUUACGACGGUUAUUUAAAAAAAUUACAGAAAUGAAAAAGUAAAGUAACGACGGUAUAUUCCGUCAUUAAACCGUUGUUAAAUUUAACGACUGAAUAUCCCGUCAUAGAUGAACAGUACGACCAAGCAUAUCGCGACCCUUGUCUUUCCGUCGUGAAUUUUGGAAUUUCCGUAGUUAAUCGUU